GUUUUUAUUAGGAGAGGUCAGUUAUUCCGAGGGGCAGAUUUUUCUAUCAACUGAUCAAGAAAUCUGCUGGAAGCUUUGCCAUCUUAGGAAUCCAGGUUGAAAGAAAACCAUGCAAAAUGCGGCUCUGGGAGAGUGAGUUCCUUUCUGAACAGGGCUGGCCCUGAUUUGACCCUGCCUCUCCAAGGUCCCAGCAACUCUUGGACGGAAAACCGAAAUGUUAUACAUAUUUGUCAUUCUAGUUUCCCAGCCUUUAAACAUCCUUCCCAUUUGGGGGGAACCCCAGAAUAGAGGGAAGGCAAGACCCCGAUUCCUACUUUAGAAGCCAAAGAGGGCAGAGAGUUUCUAUCUGUGCCCCAGAAACUAGGAAACCAGCACAUCACUUGGGCUCAGCCCAUCAGAGACCCCAUCAUGUCAUCUAGGACCUGAAGCCUGUGGGGAGGCAGAAGUCAUUUGCAGUGGCUGUGGUGGAUUUGAGUGCCCGCAAGCAUAGCAACCAAUGCCUGAUCAGAGCCCAGCAGCAUUAUGACACGUGUCCAGCAGUGACAGCAGCAGCGGCGCACCCUAAGUGGACUAUCCCUCUGGCAAGAUCUUGGCUGUGUCCUGCCUCCCUCAAUUUUUAUUCAUUUUCAUCACCUGGUUCUCUAGCCUUCCCACUGAUUCUGUGAGCUGCACAACACUCUUCCAAUAAGUUCACUUUCCGCUCAAGUCAACUAGGAGAGAUUUUGCUUGGUAGCAACCAAGAAUUCCGACUGGUCUGCCAACGUCCUCCCAUGGACACAUGAUCCAGUAACAAUCUGAAGGAGCUGUCCGCACUCCAAGGACAGACACAGAGGACCUUAGAAGACAAGCGCUAUGGAACCCCAAGCAAACCAAGAUAACUGACUAGAAGUGGGAGGAACAACCGACGGCUUCUCCGCAGAGUUCUAACACCCUAGAGUGCAGUGUGAUUCUCAAGGACAGCAGCAUUUUCCAACACAUUUGACACAGAAAGCACAUUCGAAAACACCUUUCCAGGGACUAGUGUUCUGGGGAGUGCUG
RNAcentral lists this long non-coding RNA (1038 nucleotides) under Equus caballus (horse). RNAcentral's name for it is "lncRNA (ENSECAG00000049776.1)". The record is from RNAcentral. Lineage: Eukaryota; Metazoa; Chordata; Mammalia; Perissodactyla; Equidae.